CCUACGGGAGGCAGCAGUGAGGAAUAUUGGGCAAUGGGGGCAACCCUGACCCAGCCAUGCCGCGUGAGUGAAGAAGGUCUUCGGAUUGUAAAGCUCUAUCAGCAGGGAAGAAGAUGACGGUACCUGAAUAAGAAGCCCCGGCUAACUACGUGCCAGCAGCCGCGGUAAUACGUAGGGGGCAAGCGUUAUCCGGAUUUACUGGGUGUAAAGGGAGCGCAGACGGCAGUGCAAGUCUGGAGUGAAAGCCCGGGGCCCAACCCCGGAACUGCUCUGGAAACUGUGCGGCUAGAGUACUGGAGGGGCAGGCGGAAUUCCUAGUGUAGCGGUGAAAUGCGUAGAUAUUAGGAGGAACACCAGUGGCGAAGGCGGCCUGCUGGACAGUAACUGACGUUGAGGCUCGAAAGCGUGGGGAGCAAACAGGAUUAGAUACCCCAGUAGUC
This 440-nucleotide ribosomal RNA is filed under the name uncultured bacterium. RNAcentral's name for it is "partial 16S ribosomal RNA". It matches the Rfam family "Bacterial small subunit ribosomal RNA", at positions 338 to 795 of the family's 1533-position model. The record is from RNAcentral.